GUCCGGGUGGCGGAAUAGGCAGACGCGCUAGCUUGAGGUGCUAGUGGCCGGUGACGGCUGUGGGGGUUCAAGUCCCCCCUCGGACACCC
RNAcentral lists this transfer RNA (89 nucleotides) under Trebonia kvetii. RNAcentral's name for it is "Actinobacteria bacterium 15TR583 tRNA-Leu". It matches the Rfam family "tRNA". From Rfam's summary of the family: Transfer RNA (tRNA) molecules are approximately 80 nucleotides in length. Their secondary structure includes four short double-helical elements and three loops (D, anti-codon, and T loops). Lineage: Bacteria; Bacillati; Actinomycetota; Actinomycetes; Streptosporangiales; Treboniaceae. The record is from RNAcentral.